This is a long non-coding RNA of Penaeus monodon (black tiger shrimp), 437 nucleotides long. RefSeq lists it as uncharacterized. The transcript has 4 exons. NCBI's taxonomy places the organism in Eukaryota, Metazoa, Arthropoda, Malacostraca, Decapoda, Penaeidae. The record is from RefSeq and is a predicted model, not a curated record.
ACAAACAAAGAGGGACUACCCCCCACCAGGAUGCAGCGUCCUCCGCCUCCACGGGCUGUCUCGCUACCUCCUCCAUGGCUUAGCCCCUUUGUACUUCUGGCCUUCGGAGGAACUCGAUCUGUGGCUGGAAGUGCCGGCAUUUAGUGGCUUUUCCCUGAUUCGAGGUCCUACGAAGAUAUACAAGUGGCAUGAGAUCACUUUUACCAGUGGAGAUAAACCGGGAGAAAGCUGUGUCACAGCACCUACCAUUUUACCAAACAAAGUGUGCGGUUCUCAGGACUACGUGUAUCUGCAUGCAAACCGGCCGGGGUUCUGGGCUGUAAACUGUCCCGCAACUCCCUGUGAAUGUCCUGACAAGACCAUCGAAAAAUGCAGAAAUACUUCGUCAGUGUCAGGAACAUCAUGCGGAAAUCAUGAACUAUAUGCACUCAGAAUCC